GCCCAGACUCCUACGGGAGGCAGCAGUGGGGAAUAUUGCACAAUGGGGGAAACCCUGAUGCAGCGACGCCGCGUGAGCGAUGAAGUAUUUCGGUAUGUAAAGAUCUAUCAGCAGGGGAGAAGAUGACGGUACCUGACUAAGAAGCCCCGGCUAACUACGUGCCAGCAGCCGCGGUAAUACGUAGGGGGCAAGCGUUAUCCGGAUUUACUGGGUGUAAAGGGAGCGUAGACGGCGAUGCAAGCCAGAUGUGAAAGCCCGGGGCUCAACCCCGGGACUGCAUUUGGAACUGUGUGGCUGGAGUGUCGGAGAGGCAGGCGGAAUUCCUAGUGUAGCGGUGAAAUGCGUAGAUAUUAGGCGGAACACCAGUGGCGAAGGCGGCCUGCUGGACGAUGACUGACGUUGAGGCUCGAAAGCGUGGGGAGCAAACAGGAUUAGAUACCCUCGUAC
RNAcentral lists this ribosomal RNA (447 nucleotides) under uncultured bacterium. RNAcentral describes it as "bacterial SSU rRNA". It matches the Rfam family "Bacterial small subunit ribosomal RNA", at positions 329 to 793 of the family's 1533-position model. The record is from RNAcentral.